UUUGCAUCCAUGAAGGCUACAUAGAAAACCUUACUGAGGAUUUGUGUAGAUCUGAUGCUCAGCAAA
Molecule: non-coding RNA, 66 nt
Organism: Erinaceus europaeus (western European hedgehog)
Lineage: Eukaryota; Metazoa; Chordata; Mammalia; Eulipotyphla; Erinaceidae
Source: Rfam